UGCAUUUCAAACAGUUCCAGAUUAGACCACGAUAAAACGUACAUGAACUCUGCACCAUUAGUGUUACCAGGUAUAGGGGCAGAGAUUCAGAAGACAUGUGAUGAAACCUGAUGCUGAUUACAACGAAUGGAUUUACACUGAAGAUCAGCUGGAAUAAUUUGGCCCCUAAAAACAGAGGCAGAUUCUAAACACUGCUCUCCUGGCUCCGUUCAUCCCUUGGCAGGAAGGAAGGCAGGAGCAAACAUCUUGGACAACAGGGCUGCACAACAUGUCAGUGUGCUUGAGAUCAUUUCUGCAUUUUGCACCUAAAAGACAACACACUGCUAACAACUUUCUCAGCAGGCAUCAGGAGCAGGGAGGGGAAGGAAACUGCAGCAGGCACUCCUGAGGGACUGAAGAGCAAUGACGGCUUCUAUCUGAAGAAUGCUGAGAAAAUCUAAAAAGUUAUUUUAAAGCUUCUGAAGAAUUAAUAGAACGAUGUACGUAAACGUCCUCUCAGAAAUAUCAGAAUCCAGGGUGGGGUUUUACAGAAGUUGGAGAGGUACGAGAACUGAGGCUGAUGGCUG
This 566-nucleotide long non-coding RNA is filed under the name Gallus gallus (chicken). Lineage: Eukaryota; Metazoa; Chordata; Aves; Galliformes; Phasianidae. The record is from RNAcentral.